This 8214-nucleotide long non-coding RNA is filed under the name Triticum aestivum (bread wheat). Its description in RNAcentral is "long non-coding RNA (TAES_LNC005052)". Lineage: Eukaryota; Viridiplantae; Streptophyta; Magnoliopsida; Poales; Poaceae. The record is from RNAcentral.
UCGAGGGCGACUGCGACUUGAGAAUCGAGAUCCACGGCGAGGGCGACGGCGACUGCUGACUCGAGAUCCAGCUUCUUCCCGUCCUGCGGAGCUGGUAAGUCACCCACACAGACCCCAGCUUCUUUGCUAAAUCGUGGAUCAGCGCUCAUGCUCGCAAACGACUUGGUACGGGGCAAACUGGCGUGCCCACCCGAAAUUCCCAUUGCGUGUGUGUGGUUCCACCAAUCUCACACGCUUGGCUAAGUCUGCCUUGUGUUUAGUAACACGGGGCAAUAUAUCACUGGGAGCGUUGCCCUGAUGUUUUUCUGUAAACCCUUUGUUUCCUCUGAAUGUUUUCAGGUUAGAGAUUAGCAAUUUAGCAAGGCAAAUGCCUGGGGGUAUUUUGUUUUGAAAAUGUAUCAGCCCCUGUACGUUUAUCUGUGACUGAGAAAUUACAGCAGUCCCUUACUAUAUCAAAGUGCAAUACGACAAUCGCAAUACAGCAAUUAAUUCAUACAUUACGAAUUAUUAUUAGUUGCUAAAGAUUGUUGGCUCAUGUUGCUUCCCUUUGUUUUAUGAGCUGAUUGCUAGGGGGUGUACACCAGAGGACAAAUUCAUCACUCACAAUUCAGUUGAGGGUGUAGACUUUCUAUAUUGUAUCUACACAGACCCCAGCUUCUUUUGCCAGACAAGAGCGUGCCGUACGUGGAUCCAUGGACGUCAAGAGGGCGAUGGCUGCUGCGGUCUACUUCGUCCGCUCCUUCCCCAUCUUGGCCUUCCCCGUCCUCUACGCCAUGGGCUCCGCCGUCUGCUACGCGCGCUGUGGCAAGGUAACACUACUCCUAACCACCACGACCCCUGCUUAGAUGCUGUGCUCUGCUGGACAUUCCGGCCGACCGAUUUGCGCCUUCGUGCAGCUGCGGCGGUGCGUGGCGGAGGACGAGACCGACGUCUGAUUCUGGGCGAGGAUGUGCUUCAUCGCACUCCAGGCGAUCAUUGCGGAGCUGGCGGUGCUGCUCCCGCUCCACAGCUGGCGGAUCACCCGUGCCCUCGCCUACCUCGUGGUCGCUGUCUUAGUCGUGGGCCGCUGUACCUAUGCCAGCGUCAUGCCUCAAGGAAUGCCCCGUGACAUCAAGAUCCUCUUAGUCUCGGGCAUCUUCGGCCUCACGGUGGCCGACCUCCAUAGCUUCCUCUUCCUGGCCCGGGGAAGUCAGGAGUAGCUCCUGAUCGGUGAGCUCAAGCUCCAUGUCCAAGGAUCAGCUCAUGAGGUACUGAAGUGACAGCUGAUGACAAGUUCAAAAAAACGCUGAUAUAUUGUACUACAUGUAGCUGUUAACUGGAUAGAUCUCCUAGCAAUUCAUCCGUCUAGUGUUGGACCUUUGAUGCGGAAUUACCCUGUUAUUUCUGUAGUAAUGUGGAAUUAGCAUAUUGUUUGUGUUUCUCGGAACUAGCAUAUAUAAUUGGAUUGUGCUCGUCUGAUCGAGAUAUAGCAGUAUUGAGUAGCUAGUAUUGACCAACAAUUUGUGUUCGUCUGAUCAGCCAUAUAUGGACCUUUUCUCGGUAUGAUCAUCGGCCAUAUGCAGUAUAUAUAAUUGAUGUUGGUGAAGGUGAAAUUGUUACUGCAGUUUAUAUGUAUGCAUGCACUCAUGUUGUUUCUCCUGUUGAGCAUUGUUUUAUAUUCAUUCCAGUAACUGCUGGUGUAUGAAUGUGGCUUGGAAUAACCAGUCCAUCAGGGAUGAGUUGAGGCCCUCCUUAAUUUUGGUGUCUUUUUUGUUAGAUUUGAAAGCCAAAAUCGCCAUCUGCUUAUGGUCGAUGAACCCACAGGCUGGAAGGUUGCUGACCGGGCUGAUGCAGAGCGGGCAUCCAAGUAUGCUCGCAAGAAAGAGAGGAUGCUUUGUUACCGGUGCGGUGAGAAAGGUCAUUUCAUUGCAGAAUGCGUGGCUCAGCUUUGUGAGUCUUGUGGCAAGCCAGCGCAUGCUUCGGGGGAGUGUCCUUUUCUGAGGGAGCAGGUUCCAGCUCUUACUGUGUACGGUGUGUACUGUGCUGAGCUGAUGUUCUUUGAGUCAGCGACUGCGAGGGAGGCUCCAGUUGAGACCCAGAGCCUCACUACUGGAUUGGUGAAGGUGACCCAGGGUGAUGUUUCACACGCUCAGAUUGUGCAGAGGCUUAUGGAGCUGGCUCCGGGUGAUUUUCAGUGGGACCUGGUAUCUGUUGAAGAAAGAGUGUUCAGAGCUGAGUUCCCUUCGGUUGAGGACUUGUGGCGCUUGUUGAGCUUUGGGAUGUGUAAGGUUCCAGGCACCAACGGCAUUUUGGAGUUUCACGAGUGGAAGAAAGUUGAGCCUAAGGGGAAGCCUCUUACUCAAGUGUGGCUGAGAUUCUCUGGGGCACCAUCUGAGGCUCUAGCUGAUGUUCGUGUGGUGGCUAGCUUGGGGAUUAUGGUUGGUAAAACGGAGAAGGUUGAUAUGGCGUUCACGAGAGCUCAGGGGGUGGCCCGUUUGCGAGUCAGUAUUUUGGACAUAGAGUAUGUUCCGGACGUCGUUAACUGGACAUAUAGGGGUGAGGUUUUUCCCCUUGAGAUCGAGUUUGAGGAUACGGAGUUAUUUGCUGAGGUGGCUGCUGGCACUGACGUGGAUAUGCACGAAGGGGGUGAUGAUGAUGGUGCUUCCAGGGAACCGACUGAUGAGGCGGCACAGGAGCCCAACGGAUCGGGGCCUCUGGCUCAGGAGUCUGAGAACGGAUCCGGGAUGGAGCAGUCUCCCACUUCGUCUCAGCCUCAUAGCACUUUGCGGUUUGGAUCUUUUCAGCUGACAUCGGCUCCUCCUCAUCUAUGGAGUGAUCGGGUUGACUCUCACGACGCGUUUGAGCACACGCUACCGGCCUUGGACUUUGGACAGGCUCUCCGGCGUUCGGACGACGUUCGACGCGAGGUGGAGCCUCAGGGGUUGCCGGGGCUCACUCCUGGAGGGGAGGGGCUCGGCUUGGUUUCUUCCCGGAGGGAAGGGGUGUCGGGGCAGGCGGCCACGACGCCCUCUUCUCCCGUCUCGUCGCCUAUGUCGACGCGGCUGGCGUCAGUUUCCGGCGGUGGCGGUACACCUUUGGGGCAGGUGGCCCUGGAGGAGUGCCAGGCGGGAGCUCCGACUGUGGACGAGUCGCAGGAGGCACUACGUACGCGUCAGGGGCAGGUGGCCCCAGACCCUCUAGUGCCGACGGUGGUUCAACCGGCGUUGCACUCGGCUUCGAGGGCGAGAGCAGGGGGACGGACUAGGGCAGGCGGCUCUGGUGCCCACUCCUCCUGCCAUCUCCCCCUCCCUUCGGAGGUCUCCCUCACCCAGGCCGUCUCCGGGUUCCGUUACUCGGGAGGAGGUGAUUGCUUUCGGUGGGAUUCGAGACCCGGUUUCCGAGGGGAGACGGAUGAGCUCUCGUCUCCAGGACCUUCCGGAGGUGGAUGACAUGCAGCAGCGGUGCGCUAUGCGGGCGGCCAAGCUUCGUGAUGUUGAGAUCACUACUGGUAUGUCAGUUAAUUUAUCUAAUUCCAUUUUGCAUUUCUCUAAGGAUGAGAUUAUUAAUAAUGCAAACCAAGUAGGUGUGUCUCUUGGGAAUAAUAAUGCUGAAAUUUUGAACUCGGUUAAUGAUCUCUUAGAUUUGGAAGCGGAACGGGCCUUAGAAACCAUUAGAAACCUAGCGGCUGUAAAACCUAUGAAUGAUGCUGAGAUUGACGCAUUGGGGGUAAGGGUGCUGGACACCUUCUGUGCGGAUCUUGUUCCUACGUCGGCGGAGUCUGACGAGGAGGAAGUAGGUGCGGAGGAAAUAGUAAUUACACAACCGGAGCACGGUUAUGAGGACCGGGUUACGGAUAAUAACAUUCCUAAGCGUAAGUGGAAGCGGAAGGUGUAUCCUGCAUCCGCGGUACGUAGGAGUGCUAGGAUUCGGACUGCCAAAAAAUUCCAUGAUGACCUAUGAAAGGAAUCUUCUGGAAUAGCAGAGGUCUUAAGGACUUGGCUAAACGUAGGUUUCUAGCGGAGGCAUCUUUAGAGCACAGUUUGGACUUCAUUGCGCUCUCUGAAACUGGUAGGGAGAAUUUUGUGCCACAGUUUCUUAACACUUUGUCGGGAGGAGUGGAGUUCGAUUGGCAUUGUCUUCCUCCAAGAGGGAGGUCCGGUGGCAUCUUGCUUGGUGUGAGAUGUGACUCCCUGGAAGUCCGGAGCGUUGUUAUGGGUGACUUCGCGGUCAAAUUUCGAGUCAGGUCUAAAGUAGAUGGGUUUAACUGGGUUCUGGUGGCGGUCUAUGGGGCCGCACAACCUGAGCUUAAACCGGAGUUUUUGGCAGACCUGGUUCGUAUUUGCGGAUCUGAACAACUUCCCAUUUUGGUUGGGGGGGGGACUUCAACAUCAUUAGGAGGAGGGACGAGAAGAACAAUGAUAACUUUGACGGCCGAUGGUCUUUUAUGUUUAACACCAUCAUUGAGAGCUUGGAUCUGAGAGAGAUCGAGCUUUCUGGUCGCCAAUUCACCUGGGCUAACUCUUUACCCAAUCCGACAUACGAGAAGUUGGAUCGGGUGCUAGCAAGUCCCGAAUGGGAACAGAAAUUCCCUCUCGUCACGGUUCAGGCUCUCACGCGUGGGAUUUCGGACCACACGCCUUUGUUCGUAGACUCCGGUGAACCAAGGCAUGUGGGAAACAAAAAUACCUUCUCUUUCGAAACGGCGUGGUUUGAACGAGAAGGCUUCCUGGAUCUCGUAGCUAGGGAGUGGGCUACGGAUACUGGGGGAAAAUCGUCCGUCGAGAGAUGGCAGAAUAAGAUCAGGCAUUUGAGGAGCUUUCUCCGGGGAUGGGCCAAACACCUAAGUGGAGUUUAUAAGAUUGAAAAGGAUAGACUCCUAGAUCUUAUACGAUCCCUAGAUGUUAAAGCUGAAUCUACAAUUCUGCAGUCUGCUGAUUUGUCUUGUAAGCUUGAUGCGGAGAAGAGGUUGAAGGAACUUCUCCGUGAAGAAGAGCUGAAGUGGGCGCUCAGAGCAAAGGUUCGCAAGGUAAUCCAAGGGGAUGCGAACACUCAAUUCUUUCAUCUUAUUGCAAAUGGCAAACACAGAAAGAAAAUUCUUUUUCAGCUCGAGCAAGAUGAAGGCACAAUUGUGGGUCACGAUAAUCUAAAGAUCUACAUCACCGAAUAUUAUAAGCAGUUAUUUGGACCGCCGGAGGAUAGCGCGGUGUCCCUAGAUGAGUCCAGGAUUGAGGAUGUGCCUCAACUAACUGCUUCUGAUAAUGCUAGCUUGAUUGCACCGUUUACGGAAAAGGAAGUUUUCGAUGCCAUUUCCCAGAUGGAGAACAAUAAGGCUCCUGGGCCGGAUGGGUUUCCGGCGGAGUUUUAUAAAAAAUGCUGGCAUAUUAUCAAGGGGGAUCUUUUACCCAUGUUUCAUGACCUGUUUGCUGGACGGCUUCAUCUAUUUCACCUGAACUUUGGAACCAUAACGUUGCUACCAAAAAAGACAGAUGCUCUGAGGAUUGAGCAGUUCCGGCCUAUCUGUCUUCUGAAUGUUAGUUUCAAAAUUUUUACCAAGGUUGGGACGAAUAGGCUCACACAGAUUGCGCAUUCUGUGGUGCAGCAAUCCCAGACAGCUUUCAUGCCGGAUAGAAACAUCCUAGAAGGGGUGGUGGUCUUGCAUGAAACGCUCCAUGAAAUUCACUCUAAGAAACUAGAUGGAGUCAUUUUUAAAGUGGACUUUGAGAAAGCGUACGACAAAGUUAAGUGGCCUUUCCUGCAACAAGCUCUGCGUAUGAAAGGGUUCGACGAGGGCUGGAGGAGCCAGAUUGAAUCGUUUACGCAGAAGGGUAGUGUUGGUAUUAAAGUGAAUGACGACAUUGGUCAUUAUUUCCAGACACACAAGGGCUUGCGGCAAGGUGAUCCGAUGUCCCCUAUUCUGUUCAACAUAGUGGUGGACAUGUUGGCAGUUCUGAUAGGGAGAGCCAAGGAGGCAGGCCAAGUUGGAGGCUUGGUGCCUCAUUUAGUGAAUGGAGGUAUUUCCAUCCUGCAGUACGCUGAUGACACUAUCAUCUUCAUGGAGCAUGACUUGGUAAAAGCAAGAAAUAUGAAGCUGUUGCUUUGUUUGUUUGAGCAAUUGAGUGGGCUCAAAAUUAACUUCCAUAAAAGCGAGUUGUUCUGCUUUGGUAGAGCCAAAGAGGAACAAGAAGCCUAUAAACAAUUGUUUGGGUGUGGUUUGGGGGAGUUACCAUUCACAUACCUAGGGAUUCCAAUACAUCACCGUAGGCUUACGAACAAUGAAUGGAAGUGUAUUGAAGAUCGAUUUGAGAAAAAGCUAAGCUGUUGGAAGGGUAAGCUAAUGUCAUAUGGAGGCCGGUUAAUUCUUAUUAAUUCGGUGUUGACGAGUAUGCCCAUGUUCCUUUUGUCUUUUUUUGAAGUACCGGUUGGGGUAAGGAAAAGACUGGACUUCUAUCGAUCGCGGUUCUUUUGGCAGGGAGAUGAGCUAAAAAGAAAAUACCGGUUAGCGAAGUGGGAUAUCAUUUGUAGGCCGAAAGACCAAGGGGGUAUGGGGAUUGAAAAUCUCGAGGUCAAGAACCGAUGCCUUCUUAGUAAGUGGUUAUGGAAGUUAGCUUCAGGAACUGAAGCCACUUGGGCUCAAAUCCUUCGUAAUAAGUAUCUUCAAACCAAAACUUUGUCUCAGGUCACGGUUAGACCGACUGAUUCACCCUUUUGGAAAGGGCUAAUGAAAGUUAAGCUUUCAUUCUUUCAGAGGGCAAAGCAUGUUGUUGGAAAUGGUGCCAGCACAAGAUUCUGGGAGGAUUGUUGGCUCGGUGAUACGCCCCUUGCAAUCCAGUAUCCGGCGUUGUAUCGUGUUGUACAAAGGCGUGAUGCUCUGGUUGCAACAGUCUUUCGUUCCAUUCCACUUAAUAUUCAAUUUAGAAGAUCGUUAGUGGGCAAUCGUUGGGAACAGUGGUUGCAUCUAGUUAGGAGACUGAUGCAGGUCCAGCUUUCACAACAACCUGAUAAACUGCGCUGGAAUCUCACUAGGUCGGGGGAAUUCACAGUUAAAUCCAUGUAUGUUGCUGUUAUCAACUCCAGCUCGAUUCCUACUUCCAAGCAUGUGUGGGAUGUCAAAGUUCCUUUGAAGAUUAAGGUGUUUAUGUGGUUUCUUCAUAAACAAGUCAUCUUAACAAAGGAUAAUUUAAAAAAGCGCAAUUGGACAGGUCCUACUAGGUGUAGUUUCUGUGAUCAGGGUGAAACCAUUAAGCAUUUAUUCCUUGAGUGCCCACUAGCUAGAAUUCUUUGGACAACUGUUCAUGUUGCUUUCAAUAUUACUCCACCAAAUUCGGUGAAUAUGAUGUUUGGAGCUUGGCUUAAUAGGGUAGAGCCCGGGUUAGCUAAACAUAUUCGCGUGGGGGUGUGCGCCUUAGUGUGGGCACUGUGGAAUUGCAGAAAUGAUCUUGUUUUUAACAGAACAACAAAAACUCAUGUUUUGCAGGUUAUCUUUAGAGCCACGGCACUUAUCCGUUCCUGGUCGCUACUCACUCCGACGGAGGCCAGGGAGCGUUUGGUUACUGGUGCUAUCCGAUGGGAGACGGUAGCUCGGAAUAUCUUCAGCCGGUUUGGAUGGCGGUCAUGUAAUAGGAUAGGCAAUUAGUUUACCUGUCUUUUGUUGAGCCAAUCGGCUGUGGUUUAUCCUUUGUUGGGCUAGCUUAUGUAUCUAGCCUUUGGGUUCUGUGUGAGCCUUUUCGUUUUCUUUUUAGUUUGCUACUACUCAGACUUCGAGACUUUGUGGAUGUUUUAUUAUUAAUAAGAUGGCCGUAUGCAUCAUGCUGAUGCAGAGGCCGGGGAUCCCCCUUUUCGAAAAAAAGGCUGGAAACUUGUAUGAGCGCUCGAGCUCUCCAAUGAUCAAUGCUGUUUGGUGAGCAUUUUCUCAUGUCUGGGCGCUGAUUUCGGUCAUCAACUGUGCUCGCUCCUCAUGGUCGGAGGAUUUAUAGCCAAAUAGACAAUUGCAACACAAUCGGCUAAAUCCUGCCACUUAAUGGGUCAUUAUCCCGAGCACAAUCUUCAACCAAAUCGAAAAGAUGUUUGGUCAUGGCGAGUAGACUGGGGGCAAAGCUUGAAUGUCACUGCUUGCACCGUGCCUCUGGGGUGGUCCAGAGACAUGGCGAGCAUGCUGCACGAUGACACAUGUCAUUGGAAUGUUGACACUGCGAGCUUCAGAACACUGAGUUCAUCUUGUAUGUCUGCCUUGAGGAC